This 490-nucleotide ribosomal RNA is filed under the name uncultured bacterium. RNAcentral describes it as "partial 16S ribosomal RNA". It matches the Rfam family "Bacterial small subunit ribosomal RNA", at positions 30 to 507 of the family's 1533-position model. The record is from RNAcentral.
AUUGAACGCUGGCGGCAGGCCUAACACAUGCAAGUCGAAUGGUAACAGGAAACAGCUUGCUGUUUCGCUGACGAGUGGCGGACGGGUGAGUAAUGUCUGGGAAACUGCCUGAUGGAGGGGGAUAACUACUGGAAACGGUAGCUAAUACCGCAUAACGUCGCAAGACCAAAGAGGGGGACCUUCGGGCCUCUUGCCAUCAGAUGUGCCCAGAUGGGAUUAGCUAGUAGGUGGGGUAACGGCUCACCUAGGCGACGAUCCCUAGCUGGUCUGAGAGGAUGACCGGCCACACUGGAACUGAGACACGGUCCAGACUCCUACGGGAGGCAGCAGUGGGGAAUAUUGGACAAUGGGCGCAAGCCUGAUGCAGCCAUGCCGCGUGUAUGAAGAAGGCCUUCGGGUUGUAAAGUACUUUCAGCGGGGAGGAAGGGAGUAAAGUUAAUACCUUUGCUCAUUGACGUUACCCGCAGAAGAAGCACCGGCUAACUCCGUG